This 396-nucleotide ribosomal RNA is filed under the name uncultured bacterium. RNAcentral's name for it is "partial 16S ribosomal RNA". It matches the Rfam family "Bacterial small subunit ribosomal RNA", at positions 523 to 918 of the family's 1533-position model. The record is from RNAcentral.
AUACGGAGGGUGCAAGCGUUAAUCGGAAUUACUGGGCGUAAAGCGCACGCAGGCGGUUUGUUAAGUCAGAUGUGAAAUCCCCGGGCUCAACCUGGGAACUGCAUCUGAUACUGGCAAGCUUGAGUCUCGUAGAGGGGGGUAGAAUUCCAGGGGUAGCGGUGAAAUGCGUAGAGAUAUGGAGGAAUACCGGUGGCGAAGGCGGCCCCCUGGACGAAGACUGACGCUCAGGUGCGAAAGCGUGGGGAGCAAACAGGAUUAGAUACCCUGGUAGUCCACGCCGUAAACGAUGUCGACUUGGAGGUUGUGCCCUUGAGGCGUGGCUUCCGGAGCUAACGCGUUAAGUCGACCGCCUGGGGAGUACGGCCGCAAGGUUAAAACUCAAAUGAAUUGACGGGG